Alexandromys fortis (reed vole) is the source of this 2741-nucleotide RNA transcript. It is a transcript of the gene named beta-1,4-N-acetyl-galactosaminyltransferase 1, with no coding region annotated. NCBI's taxonomy places the organism in Eukaryota, Metazoa, Chordata, Mammalia, Rodentia, Cricetidae. The record is from RefSeq and is a predicted model, not a curated record. The transcript is spliced from 13 exons.
CCGAGUACCCGCGGGCGCGAGCGCGCUGCCGUGCUUCCCCUGACAGGCCAGGUGUAGACCCGCCCCUCCGCAGGACCCCAGCCCGGUUGAUGCUCGUGGGGGUGGCGAUGGGGUGGGGGUGGGGGCCCCCUGAGGGCCAUGUGCCCAAGGUGUGGCAGGUCCCGAUGCUGGGGCCUCGGGUCUAUGCGGAAACUCAGAUGUGACAGAAAAGCGGGAAGAGAGGAGGCCAGGAUACCCCAGCGUGGGGCAUGAAGGAAGGGAUGUGCGCCGUGCGGACCGGAGAUGGGUGGCCUCGGAAACCUGCGUGGCCUUCCAAGGCAGAGAAAUCAAGAGUCCCAGCCCUCACCUUCCCCUUGCCGCUGGUCACCUCUCAUCUUCCCCCACUUUAGGAUGCGGCUAAGCCGCCGGGCUCUCUAUGCGCUAGUUCUGCUGCUCGCCUGCGCCUCGCUGGGGCUCCUGUACGCCAGCACCCGAGACGCGCCCAGGCUUCCGAACCCUCUGGCGUUGUGGUCGCCCCCACAAGGUCCCCCGAAGCUCGAUCUGCUAGAUCUUGCCCCUGAGCCCCGCUAUGCACACAUCCCGGUCAGGUUCAAGGAGCAAGUAGUGGGGCUGCUGACUCCGUAUAACUGCAGUUGUGAACCCAGGGGAGGGAGCUUUGCCUUCCCGUUCCAGAGACAGGCUCGAGUCAUUGACCUCACUAAAGCCUUUAACGCUGAGGAGCUGCAGACUGUUUCUGUCGCCAGGGAGCUGGAAUACCAGGCCUUCCUUGCAAGAAGCCAGUCCCUGACUGACCAGCUACUCAUAGCCCCAGCCAACUCCCCCUUACAGUAUCCCCUGCAGGGCGUGGAGGUUCAGCCUCUCAGGAGCAUCCUGGUGCCAGGGCUAAGUCUGCAGGAAGCUGCUGCCCAGGAGGUGUAUCAGGUGAACCUGAUUGCUUCCCUAGGCACCUGGGAUGUGGCAGGGGACGUGGAAGGCGUGACUCUCACUGGAGAGGGACAGCCGAAUCUCACCCUUGCCAGCCCAGGCCUGGAUAGACUCAACCGGCAGCUGCAACUGGUCACUUACAGCAGUCGAAGCCACCAGGCCAACACAGCAGACACAGUCCGGUUCUCCACCAAGGGACAUGAAGCUGCCUUCACCAUCCGCAUAAGAUAUCCUCCCCAACCCCGGCUGUACCCACCUUCAUAUGUACGCGAGGGAGCCCAGUACAACAUCAGUGCUCUGGUUACCAUCGCCACCAAGACCUUUCUUCGUUAUGAGCGUCUACGGACACUCAUUGCCAGCAUUCGUCGCUUUUACCCCACCGUUACCAUAAUCAUCGCUGACGACAGCGACAAACCGGAGCGCAUUAGCGACCCCCACGUGGAGCACUAUUUCAUGCCCUUCGGCAAGGGCUGGUUCGCAGGUCGGAACCUGGCGGUAUCCCAAGUAACCACCAAAUACGUGCUGUGGGUGGAUGACGACUUCGUCUUCACGGCGCGCACGCGGCUGGAGAAGCUUGUGAACGUGCUGGAGAGAACGCCCCUGGACCUGGUUGGGGGCGCGGUGCGGGAGAUCUCGGGUUUCUCUACCACCUACCGGCAGCUGCUGACUGUGGAGCCGGGCGCCCCAGGCCUUGGGGACUGCCUUCGGCAUAAACGUGGUUUCCACCACGAGCUCCUUGGCUUCCCAAACUGCGUGGUCACCGACGGCGUGGUCAACUUCUUCCUGGCGCGCACGGACAAAGUGCGCGAGGUGGGCUUUGACCCGCGCCUCAACCGGGUGGCACAUCUGGAAUUCUUCCUGGACGGACUUGGUUCCCUUCGUGUUGGCUCCUGCUCUGAUAUUGUCGUGGAUCACGCCUCGAAGGUGAAACUGCCGUGGGUGUCAAAGGAUACGCAGGCAGACACUUAUGCCCGCUACCGUUACCCGGGAUCGCUGGACCAGAGUCAGGUGGCCAAACAUCGUCUGCUCUUCUUCAAGCACAGGCUACAGUGCAUGACCGCUGAGUGACAGCUGAUUGGGCCUUCCCACUGUCAGGCUGGGCCUGCCUCCUGGUCCCUGCCAGGAAUUCCCAACAACCCCUCCAACUCCUGACCCCUGACCCCCUGUCCAUCAACCUGAUCCCUAACAGGGGUUUGUCCUGGUGACAACCCUUCCUUUCUGUGAGUGACCAGAGGCCUGAUGGAGCCAUAACCUUUCCCACAGCCAGUGCCAAGUCCUUCCCCAACCCCAUUCCAAUGGGGCAGGAAAUGGGGGGAUUCACUUUCCAAGUGCCAAAGAGCCCAGAAGGACUCUGAGACCCUCAAGUGGAAACAACUCUCACCUCCUGAGGGGGCAGGGAAACUCCCAAUGUGCAACCCCAGGGACACGCACCCCCACCCCAGCUCUGGAUCCAGCACCAUGUGUCCCAGCUUCAACAUACCCCACAGGGAGCACUGUGACCGUUGUGUGGAGCUGGAGAACACAUGCAUCCGCAAAGCUGAUGCCGCUGAAGUCCAGGACCACCACUCUGAUGGGCUCAGCACCUGGGAUGGAAGAAAGCAGGAGCAUCCAGACACCUGGUGGCUCACGGCCAAAGCUCCCUCUUCUCAUCCCGUCUCACCUUUGUCAGCCCCAGACGCCACUCCAAGAUGUGGCGGAACUGCCCACGGGUUGCGAAGUAGAGUGGUGUUGGAUAGCUCAGGAUGCAGAGACCCGGAACCUGGAGGAGCUGAAGGAUAGUAGAAGAAGGGCCCCAGCCACAACAGCACUGCCAGGAC